GCAAUAUUCUUGGACUAGGAACAGUUCUAAAGUGGGAAUUAAGUCAAGAGAAGAGCUCGGAGAAAACUGGCCAUUCCAUGCUGUCACCGUCCCUUCCUCAAGCAACAAACGAUGAUGUUUAACAGGAAGAUAGCAAAAGCCAUGGUUGGAGAGAGCUCUACCUGCCAUGUCAAGCGAGACUAUGCCAGGCUGGGGAAGACGCUUAAGGAAAUCGAGGCUCAGGUGAUCUUCAGUGGGAUUCUGCCUGUUCCUAGAGAAGGGCAACA
This is a long non-coding RNA of Caretta caretta (loggerhead turtle), 266 nucleotides long. RefSeq lists it as uncharacterized. NCBI's taxonomy places the organism in Eukaryota, Metazoa, Chordata, Testudines, Cheloniidae. The record is from RefSeq and is a predicted model, not a curated record.